AGUGAACGCUGGCGGUAGGCCUAACACAUGCAAGUCGAACGGCAGCACAGGAGAGCUUGCUCUCUGGGUGGCGAGUGGCGGACGGGUGAGGAAUACAUCGGAAUCUACUUUUUCGUGGGGGAUAACGUAGGGAAGCUUACGCUAAUACCGCAUACGACCUACGGGUGAAAGCAGGGAACCUUCGAGCCUUGCGCGAUUGAAUGAGCCGAUGUCGGAUUAGCUAGUUGGCGGGGUAAAGGCCCACCAAGGCGACGAUCCGUAGCUGGUCUGAGAGGAUGAUCAGCCACACUGGAACUGAGACACGGUCCAGACUCCUACGGGAGGCAGCAGUGGGGAAUAUUGGACAAUGGGCGCAAGCCUGAUCCAGCCAUACCGCGUGGGUGAAGAAGGCCUUCGGGUUGUAAAGCCCUUUUGUUGGGAAAGAAAUCCAGCUGGCUAAUACCCGGUUGGGAUGACGGUACCCAAAGAAUAAGCACCGGCUAACUUCGUGCCAGCCGCCGCCGUAA
Molecule: ribosomal RNA, 506 nt
Filed under: uncultured bacterium
Lineage: Bacteria
Description: partial 16S ribosomal RNA
Rfam family: Bacterial small subunit ribosomal RNA
Source: RNAcentral